RNAcentral lists this ribosomal RNA (676 nucleotides) under Salmonella enterica. Its description in RNAcentral is "partial 23S ribosomal RNA". It matches the Rfam family "Bacterial large subunit ribosomal RNA", at positions 711 to 1299 of the family's 2925-position model. Lineage: Bacteria; Pseudomonadati; Pseudomonadota; Gammaproteobacteria; Enterobacterales; Enterobacteriaceae. The record is from RNAcentral. RNAcentral also lists the same sequence under 2 other names.
AGACCCGAAACCCGGUGAUCUAGCCAUGGGCAGGUUGAAGGUUGGGUAACACUAACUGGAGGACCGAACCGACUAAUGUUGAAAAAUUAGCGGAUGACCUGUGGCUGGGGGUGAAAGGCCAAUCAAACCGGGAGAUAGCUGGUUCUCCCCGAAAGCUAUUUAGGUAGCGCCUCGUGAAUUCAUCUCCGGGGGUAGAGCACUGUUUCGGCUAGGGGGCCAUCCCGGCUUACCAACCCGAUGCAAACUGCGAAUACCGGAGAAUGUUAUCACGGGAGACACACGGCGGGUGCUAACGUCCGUCGUGAAGAGGGAAACAACCCAGACCGCCAGCUAAGGUCCCAAAGUCAUGGUUAAGUGGGAAACGAUGUGGGAAGGCCCAGACAGCCAGGAUGUUGGCUUAGAAGCAGCCAUCAUUUAAAGAAAGCGUAAUAGCUCACUGGUCGAGUCGGCCUGCGCGGAAGAUGUAACGGGGCUAAACCAUGCACCGAAGCUGCGGCAGCGAACGUAUCACCCAAGACAACUUUACGGAGUUGACGAUUGACGGAGCGAAGCGACGUCAAAGCGUUCAUUAAAGUCGAGUUGGCUUAGGGAUACGUUCGUUGGGUAGGGGAGCGUUCUGUAAGCCUGUGAAGGUGUGUCGUGAGGCAUGCUGGAGGUAUCAGAAGUGCGAAUGCUG